Molecule: ribosomal RNA, 890 nt
Filed under: uncultured bacterium
Lineage: Bacteria
Description: bacterial SSU rRNA
Rfam family: Bacterial small subunit ribosomal RNA
Source: RNAcentral
AUGCAAGUAGAACGCUGACGAUUAGAAGCUUGCUUUUAAUCUGAUGAGUUGCGAACGGGUGAGUAACACGUGGCUAACCUACCUCUUAGCGGGGGAUAACACUUGGAAACAGGUGCUAAUACCGCAUAACAGUGUUGAUCGCAUGAUUGACAUUUGAAAGGCGCAACUGCGUCACUAGGAGAUGGAGCCGCGGUGCAUUAGCUAGAUGGUGAGGUAACGGCUCACCAUGGCGAUGAUGCAUAGCCGACCUGAGAGGGUGAUCGGCCACAUUGGAACUGAGACACGGCCCAAACUCCUACGGGAGGCAGCAGUAGGGAAUCUUCGGCAAUGGACGCAAGUCUGACCGAGCAACGCCGCGUGAGUGAAGAAGGUUUUCGGAUCGUAAAACUCUGUUGUUAGAGAAGAAUGAUGAGGAGAGUGGAAAGCUCUUCAUGUGACGGUAUCUAACCAGAAAGCCACGGCUAACUACGUGCCAGCAGCCGCGGUAAUACGUAGGUGGCAAGCGUUGUCCGGAUUUAUUGGGCGUAAAGCGAGCGCAGGCGGUUUCUUAAGUCUGAUGUGAAAGCCCCCGGCUCAACCGGGGAGGGUCAUUGGAAACUGGGAAACUUGAGUGCAGAAGAGGAGAGUGGAAUUCCAUGUGUAGCGGUGAAAUGCGUAGAUAUAUGGAGGAACACCAGUGGCGAAGGCGGCUCUCUGGUCUGUAACUGACGCUGAGGCUCGAAAGCGUGGGGAGCGAACAGGAUUAGAUACCCUGGUAGUCCACGCCGUAAACGAUGAGUGCUAAGUGUUGGAGGGUUUCCGCCCUUCAGUGCUGCAGCUAACGCAUUAAGCACUCCGCCUGGGGAGUAUGCCCGCAAGGGUGAAACUCAAAGGAAUUGACGGAAUCGAAU